This 542-nucleotide ribosomal RNA is filed under the name uncultured bacterium. RNAcentral describes it as "bacterial SSU rRNA". It matches the Rfam family "Bacterial small subunit ribosomal RNA", at positions 890 to 1431 of the family's 1533-position model. The record is from RNAcentral.
AAGAUUAAAACUCAAAAUGAAUUGACGGGGGCCCGCACAAGCGGUGGAGCAUGUGGUUUAAUUCGAUCAACGCGAAGAACCCUUACCUACUCUUGACAUCCAGAGAACUUAGCAGAGAUGCUUUGGUGCCUUCGGGAACUCUGAGACAGGUGCUGCAUGGCUGUCGUCAGCUCGUGUUGUGAAAUGUUGGGUUAAGUCCCGCAACGAGCGCAACCCUUAUCCUUGUUUGCCAGCACUUCGGGUGGGAACUCCAGGGAGACUGCCGGUGAUAAACCGGAGGAAGGUGGGGACGACGUCAAGUCAUCAUGGCCCUUACGAGUAGGGCUACACACGUGCUACAAUGGCGCAUACAGAGGGCGGCCAACUUGCGAAAGUGAGCGAAUCCCAAAAAGUGCGUCGUAGUCCGGAUUGGAGUCUGCAACUCGACUCCAUGAAGUCGGAAUCGCUAGUAAUCGUGGAUCAGAAUGCCACGGUGAAUACGUUCCCGGGCCUUGUACACACCGCCCGUCACACCAUGGGAGUGGGCUGCAAAAGAAGUGGGU